This 109-nucleotide non-coding RNA is filed under the name Segniliparus rugosus. Its description in RNAcentral is "TPP sequence". It matches the Rfam family "TPP riboswitch aptamer (THI element)". From Rfam's summary of the family: Vitamin B(1) in its active form thiamin pyrophosphate (TPP) is an essential coenzyme that is synthesised by coupling of pyrimidine and thiazole moieties in bacteria. The previously detected thiamin-regulatory element, thi box was extended, resulting in a new, highly conserved RNA secondary structure, the THI element, which is widely distributed in eubacteria and also occurs in some archaea. Lineage: Bacteria; Bacillati; Actinomycetota; Actinomycetes; Mycobacteriales; Segniliparaceae. RNAcentral also lists the same sequence under 1 other name. The record is from RNAcentral.
CGCACACCGCUCGGGGGCCCGUGGACGCGGGCUGAGAGGGCAGGACGACCUGCCGACCGACUGAACCUGUCCGGUUAACACCGACGUAGGGAGCAUUGCAAUCAUGACU